GACGAACGCUGGCGGCGCGCUUAACACAUGCAAGUCGAGCGAGAACCAGGCCUUCGGGCCUGGGGACAGCGGCGAACGGGUGAGUAACACGUGGGUAAUCUGCCCUCGAUACUGGGAUAGCCCGGGGAAACCCGGAUUAAUACCGGAUGGCCCUUCGAGUCUUUCGGACUUGAAGGAAAAGGUAGCUUCGGCCUCCGAUCGAGGAUGAGCCCGCGGCGGAUUAGCUUGUUGGUGAGGUAACGGCUCACCAAGGCGACGAUCCGUAGCUGGUCUGAGAGGACGAUCAG
RNAcentral lists this ribosomal RNA (287 nucleotides) under uncultured bacterium. RNAcentral describes it as "partial 16S ribosomal RNA". It matches the Rfam family "Bacterial small subunit ribosomal RNA", at positions 28 to 307 of the family's 1533-position model. The record is from RNAcentral.